GGAGAGCUGGCUUCAUGCCACAAAUCCCAGAUUUGUUUUCACCCUUUGGGGCGUCGUAGCCCGGGCUCUGGGAAAAGUGAGAAAGGCAUGGGUGCCGUGAAAGGGGGUUGCCUUCUCGCCACAAACCCCACAUUUGAGUCCUUCCUUUUGGGUCUUCGUGGCCCAGGUGCAAGGAAGAACACUAAAAAUCUGGGUGCCAGCGAAAGGGGUACUGGCUUCACGCCACAAACCCCAGAUUUGAGUCUUCCCAUUUGUCUUCACGGCCCAGGCGCCGGGAAGAACGACAGCGACACCUGUCCCGGUAAAAGGGGGUACUGGCUUCAUGCCACAACCCCAGAUUUGAGUCUUCCCGUUUGGGUUUCCGUAUCCUGGGCACCGGAGAAAAUAAUAAAAAAACGAGAGGGCCGGCCAAAGCGGGGGUAGCGGCCUCACGCCACGCACUCCAGAUCUGAGUCUUCCCGUCGGGGUCUUCGUGGCCUGUGCGAUGGGGAGAAUAAUUUAAAAAUCUGGGAGCCAGCAAAAGGGGGUCUGGCUUCACGCCACGGACUCCAGUUUCGAGUAGUUUCAUUUGGGACUUUUAACGGCCGGGGCACCGGAACGAACGAUAAAAAUAUGCCAGCGAAAGGGAGGUACUGGGUUCGGGCCGAGGACUCCAGAUUCGACUCCAUCAUUGGGUCUUUAUGGCUCAGGUAGCCGGGAGAGAGCGGACUCGACGAGGGAAUGGAACUAAAAGGCAGUGAGGAUUCGAACCCAAGGUGGUGACGCAAGCAAGGAGAGUAACACUCCUCAGAGACAGCGUUGGAUAGAUCAGAAAAGGGAGGAAGGUGACCGAGCGCCCGUCCGCCUCCGGAGAGGUCCGACUGACACAACGGCCCCCCCCUCUCCUGUUUGGUUUGGCUGGGCCUUUAUUUGCAACGUAGAGGAGAAGUAGCCAAUGACAAAAGAACUCGGACAUUGUGUUUUCUUCAAUGACAAAAGAGACUCUUCAAGCAGGCCUUAUCUGUUCUGGGUAAGAAGCGAUCUCCCGUCCUAGCAGGCCCUGUCUGUUUCGGGUAAGAAGCGAUCUCCCGUCCCCCGGAAUUUGGAAUUGGCAGAUGUGAUAUACAUCCCGCCUGAAAUGGGGGACUUCCGGAGACCAACACAGGGUCAUUUAGAUCAAGAGCCGCUAUGCUCAGAAUGCUGUUUUUAACAAGAGAAAUGUGGAUGUAUCUAAAAGGGGGCGUGACUUCAGGCCACGAACCCCCGGUUUGAGUCUUCCCAUUUAGGUCUUCGAGGCCCGGCCACUGGGGAGAACAAUCAAAAUGAAGGGUGGCAAAAGAGGGCGCGGCUCCAUGAAAUGAAGCCCAGAUCCGACUCCCUUUCGGGUCUUCACGGCCCAGGCAUCUGAGAGCUUGGUAAUAACAUGGGUGUCGGCCAAACAGGGGACCGGCCUCAUGCCACGAAUCCCCUAUUCGAGUCUUUCCGGUUGGAUCUUCACGGCCCAGGCACGGAGACCACGGAUCACGUGAGUGCCGGCAAAACAUGGGCCGGCUUCACACCCCGAACCCCGGAUUUAAAUGUUCCCGUUCGGGUCUCCGCGGCCCCGGCGCCGGGAAGAACGGGAGUGACGUGAGUGCUGGCAAAAUGGGGGGCUGACCCCAUGCCACGGAUCCCGCAUUUGAGUGUUCCUAUUUUGGGUCUUCACGGCCCAGGCGUUGAGAAGAAUAGAAAUGACACGUGUGCCAGCCAGAGUGGGGACUGACUUCAGGCCACGAACCCCAGACUUCAGUUUUCCCAUUUGGGCCUUUAUGGGCCAGGCAGCGGCAAAAACAGAGAAAUGGGAGUGCCCGCGAAAGGGGGGGGAUGGCUUCGUUCCCCGAACCCCAGAUUUGAGUCUUCCCAUUUGGGUCUUCACGGCCCGGGCGCCGGGAAGAACGAUAAAAGUAGGGGUACAAGCAAAAGGGGGGUUGCCUUCCUGCCACGAACCCCAGAUGUAACUCUCCCGGUCGGGUCUCCGUGGCCCGAGCAUUGGGCCGAGCAAGAAAUACUCUGGUGCCGGGAAAAUGGGGGACUGGCUUCGGAACCUUGGGAAUUGAUUUUUUCAGUUGCGUUUUUUUGUGCCGGGGCUCUCGGGAGGGUGAAGACGGCUUUGGCUUUGUCACUUUCCCCUCGGUCGGACUCUACCCUUGAGUUUGGGGCUUGGCCCUCUUCGAGGCCCAACAGGUCGAGGAGCUUCCCGCUCAUUCAGAGACGAUCCCCGGGAGAGUCUCCACCUGUAUCGUCCCCGCCGGUCGGCUCUACUAUCUUUGCGGUUGGCCGGAUGGACCGUGUACCUCGGACUCGGAGCCGACGGAACAGAUGCAGGGUUCGACCGUGCCUCCCAGAAUGACCGAGGAGGAACCGACAGAUCUGCGGGAUUCUUCCGGCUGUGGGUCGGGCCCAGAGCGAGCGUCUGUUUUCAGCAGGGGAUUUGGUUUUGAGAGCGCACCCAGACGUCCUCGCAUCCGGGAAGAACGAGACGAAGACACGGGCCUAGAGAGAGAGAGAGAGAGAGAGAGAGAGAGAGACAGAGCUGCCGUGUCCGGCGACGGGGUCGUGCGAUCGUGUCCGCCUCUGUGGCCGGAGGCCAUCUCCGCGGCCCCGUGUCGUAGGGGGGCGACGGAGGUGGCGCGGCGAGGGGGAGCGGGAGGACAGGGUAGGAAGAGGUGGGAUUGUGCGUCUGAACUCCCUGCAGCACUGCCACUCGGUGCCCCCUGACCCUCCCGAGGGAGAGAUGGCAGGGGGGCCGGUGGCAGUCACGGGGAGGGAUGGGCAGGGAGGAGGGCGAUGCUCGGGGACUCUUCCUCCCCACGUGGCCCUCCGCCCCCCCCAUGCCCUUUCCCUCCUUUGACUUCAUCUCCUCUCACUACUCCCUCCCCGGCCCCCAGUGGGAGAUAGAACGGCGA
Molecule: long non-coding RNA, 2924 nt
Organism: Ornithorhynchus anatinus (platypus)
Lineage: Eukaryota; Metazoa; Chordata; Mammalia; Monotremata; Ornithorhynchidae
Exons: 3
Source: RefSeq, a predicted model, not a curated record